GAUAGCUCUGAACUAGAGUCACAGUGAGGGAGGAGAGUGGCAAGAAGCAAGCGUAAAAACAGCCCCACCUUCACACUCUUGAGUGUCAUUACUUUUACUACUGUCCCCGUGAGUGCCCUGUCCUGGUAAGCACAUCUGUUCAUUGGGGUGGCUCUGAGAUUUGAGGACAGGUGGAGUUGGUUUGCAGCUAUGAAGAAAGUCUCGGAGAGCACCCUGAAAGCCUUGUGCAGUGCGAGGACAGAAUCCAGGAUGAGAUGUGUGGGGUUUAUAGUGUCAGACACAUGGCAGGCACACUAACUUCCCACAGCUGAGCCCAGCAACAUACUCUAAGCUUUGUCUCUUGAAGAAUACUUGCAUAAGCCUCUUCCUUUCCCUUUCCAAAUCUAAAACUGUUGUGUUUACAAAAAGACCAAGAGAGGGGGAUAUGUUCUAUGGAGGGCUGAGGAAAGGGGGUACCUCAGCGGGCCCAUGCUGAGACAUCCCUUCCCCCCACAGGACCAGCACAAGACGGUAUAGUAUAGAAUAGAGUUUAUUUAGGGAAUGGGGAGGGGAGGAGAGGGUGGAGAGAAGAGGCUGGCCAUGAGCACUUGGAGAGAAGCGGGGAGGGGAAUGGGGAGAGAAGGAACAAAGGGGCAAGAGAGAGCAAGAGGAGUAAGGAAGGGGCAAGCAGGCCCUUUUAUAAUGUCAGGCAUACUAGGCUGUUGCCAGGCAACUAUUGGUGGAGCAUACCUGGCUAUUGCCAGGUAACUGUGGGGGUGGAGAUUAGAAUGCUAACAAAAACAACUUGGCAAUCACAGUUACACACUGGCUAGUGGAUUACAGGGAUAUACUCUUCUUGAACCAAAUGCCUUGUCUUGUCAAUGAAAUGUUCAUACCCAUCCCAACAAUCCACUUCUCUAAUGAUCAACAGACACCAGGAAUACUGGUCUAUCUACAUCUAUAACAACUUCUCUUUAUCUAAAGCUGAGUGCAUGUGCCAUGCGCCCAAGACCCAUGGUUGUUCUGCCAGACUAGGAAAGCCCUGAAUUAGCAUCCAUCUCUCCAGUCUCGAGUCUCCUAGAGGAAUUUACAUUUGGAGUCUACCGACACAGUAAGUGUAUGUAUUCAAAGUGGAAAGAGACGGAGAGACGGAAAGAGAUGAACAUGGAAGAGGGGGCCUACGCACUGUGAGUGGAGCAGUAAGCCAGGCUUUGUGGCAUCCAGGUCAGAGGAAUGGCACGUCAGGUGGGUCAGUGGACUGCAGAAGACUUUUGGAAAAGAUGCUACACUCGAGGCUGUGGUGGCUGGAGGGGUACACACUUCAAGUGAUCAUCAAAGUCGGGGAGUUGUCUGUUGGGAGCUGGACAUGACUUCAGAGGACCGAGGUCUGAGGACUUACAGAUUCCAUUAGCUCCGCUCCCCAUGUGACCAUGAGGUAGCCUGUAGGCUUCCCAUGGUCAUUUCUCAUUUCCUCUGUUCCAACAUUCAGUUUUCCAACAAGGAGCUGGGAAGGGAAGCUGGCUAUAUAAAUGCAUAGCCUUAUACUUACUCAUCCUAAGUAAAAACCCAGCCAGAGCGGAUCAAAGACUUCAGUGUACUAGCUAACCUUUGAAGCUGCUGGAGGAAAGCUGAGAAAAGCACUUCAGAAACAGACACAAGGCAGGGCUUUCUGAGAAGACUCAAGUAACACAAAACAACCAUGAGGACUGCAAAGGGGAUUAUACAAAAUAUAAAUUCUUCUGCACAGUGAUGAGACAAUCUACCCAGUGGGAAAAUCUCAGCCAACUACACACGCAACAGGGAAUCAGUAUCCAGAGUCUACAAGAAUUCAGAACGUUAAAUCCCAAGACAUCAAGUCACGUGAUCAACUAAGUAUGUUUAUGAAUGGAACAGGAACAUCUCAAAGGAAGAAAUACAAAUCGCCAACUGUGGGUAUGGGGAACAGGAAGUCUCGGGGAAAGUGGAGACAGAGCCCACAAAGCCUAGGAUUCAGACUCCAGAGACCAGCAUCAGAGUGCAGAACUAAAUUUGUUGUUUAUUACAUAAGCAUAUAUGUCUUUUUAGCCACUUAUGAUAUGUUUAUGUAUUUAAAAGCAAAUCCUGGUACGACA
Molecule: long non-coding RNA, 2090 nt
Organism: Rattus norvegicus (Norway rat)
Lineage: Eukaryota; Metazoa; Chordata; Mammalia; Rodentia; Muridae
Source: RefSeq, a predicted model, not a curated record